AUGAAUAAGAAGGCACACAGACUAGCUAUAUCAAGUGCAGACUGCUCUAAUGUUGUCGUUGCUGUUGGAGAGUACCACCAGGGGCACGCAAUAUCUGUCGGUUUUGAGAUGAAGCUCUCACAACUACUCAAACAAGACGGAUCCGUUUCCGUUGAGGAUGUCAUAUAUAUGGAGGCUACCGCUACCACUGGCGUUGUCGGGUAG
Vicia faba (fava bean) is the source of this 204-nucleotide non-coding RNA. NCBI's taxonomy places the organism in Eukaryota, Viridiplantae, Streptophyta, Magnoliopsida, Fabales, Fabaceae. The record is from the annotation of a GenBank genome assembly.